This 500-nucleotide ribosomal RNA is filed under the name uncultured bacterium. RNAcentral describes it as "partial 16S ribosomal RNA". It matches the Rfam family "Bacterial small subunit ribosomal RNA", at positions 30 to 523 of the family's 1533-position model. The record is from RNAcentral.
AUUGAACGCUGGCGGAAUGCUUUACACAUGCAAGUCGAACGGCAGCACGGACUUCGGUCUGGUGGCGAGUGGCGAACGGGUGAGUAAUGUAUCGGAACGUGCCCAGUCGUGGGGGAUAACGUAGUGAAAAUUACGCUAAUACCGCAUACGAUCUAUGGAUGAAAGCGGGGGAUCGCAAGACCUCGCGCGAUUGGAGCGGCCGAUAUCAGAUUAGGUAGUUGGUGGGGUAAAGGCCCACCAAGCCAACGAUCGGUAGCUGGUCUGAGAGGUCGACCAGCCAUACUGGAACUGAGAUACGGUCCAGACUCCUACGGGAGGCAGCAGUGGGGAAUUUUGGACAAUGGGCGAAAGCCUGAUCCAGCCAUUCCGCGUGCAGGAUGAAGGCCCUCGGGUUGUAAACUGCUUUUGUACAGAACGAAAAGGUUUCUACUAAUACUAGGAGCUCAUGACGGUACUGUAAGAAUAGGCACCGGCUAACUACGUGCCAGCCGCCGCCGUAA